GUUCAACCGUGGAGGGUCAUUGGAAACUGGGGGACUUGAGUGUAGGAGAGGAAAGUGGAAUUCCACGUGUAGCGGUGAAAUGCGUAGAUAUGUGGAGGAACACCAGUGGCGAAGGCGACUUUCUGGCCUACAACUGACGCUGAGGCGCGAAAGCGUGGGGAGCAAACAGGAUUAGAUACCCUGGUAGUCCACGCCGUAAACGAUGAGUGCUAGGUGUUAGGGGUUUCGAUACCCUUAGUGCCGAAGUUAACACAUUAAGCACUCCGCCUGGGGAGUACGGCCGCAAGGCUGAAACUCAAAGGAAUUGACGGGGGCCCGCACAAGCAGUGGAGCAUGUGGUUUAAUUCGAAGCAACGCGAAGAACCUUACCAGGUCUUGACAUCCUCUGACACCUCUGGAGACAGAGCGUUCCCCUUCGGGGGACAGAGUGACAGGUGGUGCAUGGUUGUCGUCAGCUCGUGUCGUGAGAUGUUGGGUUAAGUCCCGCAACGAGCGCAACCCUUGAUCUUAGUUGCCAGCAUUCAGUUGGGCACUCUAAGGUGACUGCCGGUGAUAAACCGGAGGAAGGUGGGGAUGACGUCAAUCAUCAUGCCCCUUAUGACCUGGGCUACACACGUGCUACAAUGGAUGGUACAAAGGGCAGCGAGACCGCGAGGUUAAGCGAAUCCCAUAAAGCCAUUCUCAGUUCGGAUUGCAGCUGCAACUCGCCUGCAUGAAGCCAGAAUUGCUAGUAAUCACGGAUCACAUGCCGCGAUGAAUACGUUCCCGGG
Molecule: ribosomal RNA, 770 nt
Filed under: Salipaludibacillus agaradhaerens
Lineage: Bacteria; Bacillati; Bacillota; Bacilli; Caryophanales; Bacillaceae
Description: bacterial SSU rRNA
Rfam family: Bacterial small subunit ribosomal RNA
Source: RNAcentral